RNAcentral lists this ribosomal RNA (209 nucleotides) under uncultured bacterium. RNAcentral's name for it is "partial 16S ribosomal RNA". It matches the Rfam family "Bacterial small subunit ribosomal RNA", at positions 568 to 776 of the family's 1533-position model. The record is from RNAcentral.
AGCGUAGACGGAGUGGCAAGUCUGAUGUGAAAACCCGGGGCUCAACCCCGGGACUGCAUUGGAAACUGUCUGGCUCGAGUGCCGGAGAGGUAAGCGGAAUUCCUAGUGUAGCGGUGAAAUGCGUAGAUAUUAGGAAGAACACCAGUGGCGAAGGCGGCUUACUGGACGGUAACUGACGUUGAGGCUCGAAAGCGUGGGGAGGCAAAACA